Molecule: ribosomal RNA, 1462 nt
Filed under: metagenome
Description: bacterial SSU rRNA
Rfam family: Bacterial small subunit ribosomal RNA
Source: RNAcentral
AGAGUUUGAUUCUGGCUCAGGAUGAACGCUAGCGGCAGGCCUAAUACAUGCAAGUCGAGGGGCAGCAGGGGUAGCAAUACUCGCUGGCGACCGGCGCACGGGUGCGUAACACGUAUGCAACUUUCCUUCAACUGGAAGAUAGCCCGAAGAAAUUCGGGUUAAUAUUCCAUAGUUAUAUGAAAUGGCAUCAUUUUAUAUUUAAAGCUCAGGCGGUUGAAGAUGGGCAUGCGUUCGAUUAGCUAGUUGGUGAGGUAAUGGCUCACCAAGGCUACGAUCGAUAGGGGAUCUGAGAGGAUUAACCCCCACACUGGUACUGAGACACGGACCAGACUCCUACGGGAGGCAGCAGUAAGGAAUAUUGGACAAUGGAGGCAACUCUGAUCCAGCCAUGCCGCGUGAAGGAUGAAGGUCCUAUGGAUUGUAAACUUCUUUUGAACGGGAGAAAACCUUCGGUCGUGUACCGAAGCUGAUAGUACCGUUAGAAUAAGGGUCGGCUAACUUCGUGCCAGCAGCCGCGGUAAUACGAAGGACCCGAGCGUUAUCCGGAUUUAUUGGGUUUAAAGGGUGCGUAGGCGGAAUGGUAAGUCAGUGGUGAAAUCUUGUGGCUUAACUGCAGAACUGCCAUUGAUACUGCCAAUCUUGAGUACAUUUGAUGUGGGCGGAAUGUGCCAUGUAGUGGUGAAAUACUUAGAUAUGGCACAGAACACCGAUCGCGAAGGCAGCUCACAAAACUGUUACUGACGCUGAGGCACGAAAGCGUGGGGAUCAAACAGGAUUAGAUACCCUGGUAGUCCACGCCUUAAACUAUGAUUACUCGAUGUGUGCGAUACACAGUACGCGUCUAAGCGAAAGCGUUAAGUAAUCCACCUGGGGAGUACGGUCGCGAGAUUGAAACUCAAAGAAAUUGACGGGGGCCCGCACAAGCGGAGGAGCAUGCGGUUUAAUUCGAUGAUACGCGAGGAACCUUACCUGGGCUUGAAAGUUAGUGAAUGCUGUGGAAACAUGGCAGGCCGCAAGGACACGAAACUAGGUGCUGCAUGGCUGUCGUCAGCUCGUGCCGUGAGGUGUUGGGUUAAGUCCCGCAACGAGCGCAACCCCUAUCUUUAGUUGCCAGCGAGUAAUGUCGGGGACUCUAAAGAAACUGCCCGUCAAACGGUGAGGAAGGUGGGGAUGACGUCAAGUCAGCACGGCCCUUACGUCCAGGGCUACACACGUGCUACAAUGGCGAGUACAAAGGGCAGCUACAUGGUGACAUGAUGCUAAUCUCUAAAACUCGUCUCAGUUCGGAUUGAAGUCUGCAAUUCGACUUCAUGAAGCUGGAUUCGCUAGUAAUCGAAUAUCAGCAAUGAUUCGGUGAAUACGUUCCCGGGCCUUGUACACACCGCCCGUCAAACAAUGGAAGCUGAGGGUACUUAAAGUCGAUAACCGCAAGGAGUCGCCUAGGGUAAAAUCGGUAACUGGU